This is a long non-coding RNA of Ictalurus punctatus (channel catfish), 11045 nucleotides long. The record is from Ensembl. NCBI's taxonomy places the organism in Eukaryota, Metazoa, Chordata, Actinopteri, Siluriformes, Ictaluridae.
UAUAUGCUAUUAUUUUAUAUUAUAUAACACAAUUGUUCCACUCUGUUUAAUGCACUUUGAACUGCAAUCAGCUGCUAUUUCUACCUGAACUGUACUAUAAAUUACAACUGAGACCACAAGUUUCUGCUUAAGAUGCAAUAUUUGGAUAUCAGAAUGGUAAUUGUGUUGUGUGUCGUGUUGUCUCAGAUAUGUGUUUUGUAAACUGGGUUGAAUGUAUCAUGUUGUGACCAAACACCAAGAAAACUUGCUAAUACAUGUAAAUGUAUAUGUUGAAUCAAAUCAUUCUGAUUGUAAAUUGGUAGGGAUUCUGAAAAGAACGCUUAGAGUGCUAAACCAGUAAGUGUUGGACCAAUACCCAUUCAAAGAAUCCUUGUUCUAAGAUUUUCAAAAAAGUAACUGUCUAGAGAACCUUUGAGGAACACGUGAGCAUUUUUACUUCAAAUCUUACUGAUAAACCUUAAUAAAAGAUACCCAUGGGAGCUAAUCAGGGAGCAAUAACUGAAAAUAGCACUUUGAUCACUUUGUUCUGCUGGAGAACCUGCUGUGGGAACUUGUCCUGAUCCAUAACUCUGAUCACAGAGAUGAGAAGUUGAGAAGAUGAGAUGUCAGGCAAGUGUGAGUGUGACUGUGGUAAUAAUGCUGCUGUCUGUUCUCACUGAGCUCAUCUUCACAAACCAGCCACCUUCCAUUCGUGUCUCUUGUAUUGUAUUAAAGCGUUUAUUGUCCAAUUUAUCAUGCUCGCUUUGUCUGGUCUGAGAAAAACACACUGCUGAGUAUGUAAGGGCUGGCCAGUUGUAACGCGUGUGGGAAGAAUAUUAAAUAAGCAGCAAGAAAAUCACACAAUGCCAUGCUGACAUGUAGGGACAUAUUCCGAGUCUGAAACAUAGGGAACGUACCUUGUAUUCAGAGUUGGGUUACACAGCUGCUUAAGUUGAUUUUCUGGGUUCUAUAGUACAGUCAAAUCACAUCACACCUCCAAGGUUACCAGAUUUUUUUCAAGGAGAAGUGUCCAAGAUGGGGUUCCUCAACAGCGUCUAGACCAGCACCUUUAAACACAAGCAGUUGCCUUUAAGCCUGAAAAAAAUCAAGUGUACAAAGUGGAAGCUCUUUAAAAAGCUAAAACUGUUAUUCAUCCAAAGAACCAUUGAAAAACCCUUUUUUUUUUUUUUUUUUUUGCGAGUGUAGAACCAGUAACCACCCAAAACCCUUUGAAGAACCUUUUUCUUCUUCCUACCUGUAAUAGUGUAGACCUUUGUUGACUUUGGAGUCAACAAGAAGCUUUGAAGCAUGUAGAACCAGUAACCAAACUCCACCUAGCUCCACUACUCCACCAUUUUGAAUAGCUCUUAAGUCUGUAGUUAUGUCUGAGGUAUAAAUGUACUGCUGAAAUUAAAUCAGUAGUGUUUUUAGUGUAAGACAAGUGGUUACCAACCAUGUUCCUCCAACCAUAAUCGUGCCCACGUGACCAUCUAAUCAUUAACUUAAGAAGUGCUUGAUCAACUAAAACGAGUGUGGUAGAUUGUGGUUGGAGAUGAAACCUGCAAGAAAGUAGAUCUCAAGGAAGAGGGUUGGUGACCACUGGUGUAAGAUAUGAGGUGUUUAUCAUAAAUUUCAAAUACCAUCAUACAGAUUUACUUCAUUAGAUCGCAUGUAAAUGGGUUGUUAAUUGCACCACAAUUUGCCCCCUGCUGUGUCUCUACAUAUCUUUUCUGCAGUUCGGGAGAUGUACAGUGACACGGCACGAGUGAUAUGACAGUCUUGUCAGUUUUCAACGAUGGCAAAAGAAGUGCACAUUGAGCCUGGAUUAAGAGUUUAAUGACUGGUAAAAUUGUAGCGCUUGCAUUCAAGGUGACCCCGCUGAGGCGAAGGCAGCCAGAGCAGCAAACGGAGGCUGUGGUGUGCUGACAAUAAUCCGUCCUGCCCUUUUUUUCUCUCUCUCUCUCUCUCUUUCUCUCCUCAUAGCUGUCACCUGCACCAUGCACCAUCACCAAGGCCCAAGCCAUGUAAUUACACUUUUAUUGGCUUUUGAGAAGACCGAACAAUUCAUCCACACGCGAUUCUGCGCUUAGAGACACGAGGCGAAGCGCAUAUAGAUCAUACUUACAGAUCACUCCAAGGGUACAGAGGGAAAGUGGAAAAAAGGAUUGAGUGGAGUGAGUUUGAAACAGGACUGAGUUUUGAUUUAGACCUCAGUGGUUGUAUUGGACGGAUAUCAAGGUUACGCAUGCUUAUCAGCGUCGCUGGAAAUCACACUGAUGGAGCAUGGAUAAUUCCACUUGCAACGUUGUAUUCUAGAAGCCUUUAUUUGUCACAUACACAUGAGAGCACAGUGAAAUUCUUUUUUUUGCACAUUCCUAACAAGCUGGGGUGAGAACGUCAAUCAAUGUCUCUGCCCCUGGAGCUGAGAGGGUUAAGGGCCUUGGUCAAGGGCCUAACUCUGGCAGCUUACAGUGCUGAGACUUGAACCCACAACCUUCUGAUCAGAAAACCAGCCUUAGGAGCAACGUAUACUUAGUAAUUUUUACAUGUACGUUAGCGUAUGUGCGCAGUCGUAUGCAUAGCGUUUCAAAGUAUACUCCAUUUGACAUGUAUGUGUAUGCAGGCAGUCGACAGUUACGCAUUACGACAACUUGUACUACCCUUCCUGGCCUACAAGAGUCAGUACAGAGCAAUAAAGCAGGUCUUUUAUUAUACCCAAUCAUGUUACUGACCUGUUGGCAAUUAACCUCCAGCCGUUUCUUUUUACGAACACUUACUUUCCCAGCAUUUAUUGCCCCCGUCCCAACUUUUCUGAAACGAUUUGCGGCCAUCGAAUUCAAAAUUACUUUAUUCUUUUUCUUAAAAUGGUACAUUUACCCAGUUUAAACAUUUGAUAUGUUUUCUAUGUUCUAUUGUGAAUAACAGGUGGGUUUAUGAGAAUUUGCAAAUCAUUGCAUUCUGUUUUUAUUGACAUUUUACACAGCGUCCCAUCUUUUUUGGAAUCGGAGUUUUACACAGAUGUAAAUGAAAACAGACAAACCGAAUUUUCCUCUGAAUACGCUAUUAAUGAGGAUGAACAACUGGCUGCUGGAAAAACUCAAGAACAAUCAUUCAAAUCUGUUGUUCCCUCGAGCAAGGACAACAUGCAAAUGGGAAUUGUCCGCAGAGUGCUAAGAAUGAAUACAACAUUAGGAAUAAAUAACUGAACUGGGAAACAAACUUCAAAAAAAUCAUAAAAUUGGGAAAGUUAGCUCGCUUAUUAGCAAAAUUAAUAAACUAAUUUUAGUAUUUACACACAGCGGUUAGCAUAACGUUAGCUCACUUCUGCUAAUUUUAGUAUUUACACACAGCGGUUAGCAUAACAUUAUAUCGCUUAGGCUAAUUUUAGUAUUUACACACAGCGGUUAGCAUAACGCUAGCUCGCUUCUAUCAAUUCUACCACGGUAGUUACCGGUAUACACUGUAACCCUACACUGGACAUGAGGUGGAACUACACCUUGAGGAUUAUAAUUUAUUAUUUUAUUCCCUUAAGAGUUUUUAUUCUAGCAACACAUCUAAGUUAUAAUGGAAAUAGUAUAAUGUUUGCAGCUUGGGCAUAUUUAGAGAAUGCUUCUGGUGAUCCAUUCCAUGCAUGGACGGAGAUGCCAACAUGUAGCUGUAGAAUUUACUAUUGCGGUGAUACUGGAGACACCUGAAACGUACACUUUUCUGCUUUUUCAGAUAAAGCAGCGGUAAGAUCUAUCACAAAUACCGUAUAAUUGGCAGAAAAGCAAACGUGAAAGGUGCUUUUGCUUCUCGUUGCAGCUACUUAUUUUUUUUCUUUACGACGACUUAUUGUGGGUGAGAUGUAAACUCACAAGCCUGAGCCAAUUCUCUCUUUGCUUGGUAAAAAAAGUGGAGAAGCUGCUAAUUAUUAAGUAGCAUCACAUUGGACUUUUGACUCGCUGUUUUCUUACACAUCUGAAAAAAAAAAAUAGCCAUGUCAUCCACUUUCAUAUGCUAAUAUAUUGUAAAAUUCUGUUGUUGUUUGUUUUUUUUUGUUUUUUUUUUUUAAAUCUAUGCUUGGUAGAAUUUUCUUGUUAACAAUAUUGGCACCUCUGCAAGGACGAUCUGGAAAAUCACCAAAGUACAAAAUUGGGUUGAAUCUAGUAUCCUAAUAACGCCUUAAACCCUACAGAAAAAAGUUGCACUUAGAUCUCCUUUAUAAAGCAACAACCCCCCCCAAAGACCCCUUGAGGAACCUUAUUACUAAGCCUGGACUUCUUGCUGUAGCUCUGACCUUUCCAGCUUCAUAGUUUUUCCCCUGAUAAAUGAAUCAGCAUGGAUGGUGUGAUGGUGUGAGCCGCAAAUGAACCGAUUCACUUAUUGUGUUAACAUUGCAGAACCAUGAUGUGUUUAGGAGUCAUGAGGAAGCACAUGUUUGAUGAUAUUACUUCAGGAUGUUACCGCAGGUCAGUUAUUUGCACUCAGCGUGGAUAGACAGGCAUUAGCGGGUACAAUAGUGACACCUGAGAGUCGGGCUUCGCCUGCCAGAGCCAGGCUCGACACCAUUAGCUGGGGUGAUGCAUUAAAGUUCUGUUCGGCGUGUAAUUUGUUUUCUCUGUCAAGGUGAUGGAUGUCUUGUUCAGCGGCACUUCCUGUGUGUGUUGUAAGAAAAUAAAUAAAUAAAGCGAGGAAGAAAACAAUAGCUCCAGGACAUUGGUAAAUGGGCUUAAAAAAUGUUAGGAGAAUAUUUAUAUAUAUAUAUGUUUUAGGUAACAGGGUGUGUGUUUUUUUGGAAGGUUAAUUGACAAGGAUAGCAGCAGGAGGGCUGGUGCCUGUAAUUAAAGGUGAAAAGGUAAUGUAAGAGAAGGAGAAGGAGGGCAGACAAGUGGCCUGAAUGACGUGCAGACUGGUGACAACGUGAUGUGAAUGGUUUCCUCUGGAUAUGUGAGUGUGAAUGAGAGGUGUGUUGUGGCAGGGGUAUUUAUCACCUGCCAUUCUCACUGUAUACCUGCAGCAUCUCACCUUCACAACACCUUCAGUGUCACAAAUGUCUCUCUCUCUCUCUCUCUCGUCCUUGCUCACCUCCAUCCAUUUUUUAUCCCUCAAUACUUCGCACAGUUUAAACGCUAAACUGGAUUGCCAGGUAUUUGCUGAAGCUGGGGUUUUAUGUAUUUAACACAUCUCGGCAAUCCCAGCAUUACACGUGUGACAUUUAAACUGGUAUCGGAGUGUCUAAUUGCCUGAACAAGCCUAGCAUGAGGAAGACAGUUUCACAAAUAUUUAACAUUACACCCCAGCGCUGUCGACUUCUUGAUUUCCGAUCGGUCAGAUGGUGAUUAAUAAUCUCCAGCAACAGCAGCUCUGACGGUAGUCAACUGCAAAUCACAGGUUUAUGCUUGUUCUAAUACAACCCCGAUUCCAAAAAAAGUUGGGACGCUGUGUAAAAUGUAAGCAAAUGUCAAUAAAAACCGAAUGCAGUGAUUUGCAAAUCGCAUCAAUCCAUAUGUUAUUCACAAUAGGACAAAUGUUUAAAGUGAGUAAAUGUACCAUUUAAAGAAACAGAUAAGGUGAUUUUGAAUCUGAUGGCCGCAACACGUCUCAAAAAAAGUUGGGACAGGGACAAAAAAAAGGCUGGAAAAGUAAGGGUUACUGAAAAGAAACAGCUGGAGGAACAUUUUGUAACUAAUUAGGUGAAGUAGCAGCAGGUCAGUAAGAUGAUUGGGUAUAAAAAGAGUAUCUUAGAGAGACAGAGUCUCUCAGAAGUAAAGAUGGGAUGGAAUCUGGAUGGAAGCAGAUGUUGCUCUAAAACAUGUAUAUACCUUUCAGCAUUGAUGGUGCCUUUCCAGAUGUGCAAGCUUUCCAUUCCAUAAGCACUAAUGCACCCCGAACCAUCAGAGACGCAGGCUUAUGAACUGAGCGCUGAUGAAAAAAGCCGGAUGGUCCCUCCCCUCUUUAGUCCGCUUUAGUUUAGAGGACACGGAGUCCAUAGUUUCCAAUAAGAAUUUAAAAUUGUGAUUCUUCUGACCACACAACAGUUUUCCACUCAGUCUCAGUCCAUUUUAAAUGAGCUUUGGCCCGGGGAAGACGAUGGCUUUUCUGGAUCAUGUUCACAUAUGGCUUCUUCCUUGCAUGAUAGAGCUUUAACCAGCAUUUGUGGAUGUCAUGGUGAACUGUGUUCACAGAAAGUGAGUUCUGGAGGUGGUUCUGAGCCCAUGCAGUGAUUUCCAUUACAGAAUCAAGCCUAUUUUUUGAUGCAGAACCUUACAAUUGGCUCUGUGAAGAAAUGUGUAUUUAGCAUUUGUGGAAGGAGUCUCCAAUGUCAGCACUGUACAGAAUUCAGAGGUAAAGGUGUAACUUUGUGGUUAAAAUUUUAAGGUGUCUCUAUGUAGUGUGCACUGAUAGACAGGACACAAAUGCAUUAACUCAGUGUGUGCUUUAUUUAAGACACUCCAAGAAUCAUAAUCAUUACCAAUGUCUGUAGGCAAAAUUAAACAAGGAUAAUCUACAAUAAAUAAAAAAAACAGACAAAGGUCAAGAUCGGGAAGUACAAAACUCAAAAACAUGGCUUGGAAUUAAAAUAACAAUAAAUGCAUUACAAUACUUAUGAAAGUAACUAUGACACAACUGAGUAUAAAUAUCCAUCCAUCCAUCCAUCCAUCCAUCUUCUACUGCUUACUCCUUUUAAGGGUCACAGGGAACCUGGAGCCUAUCCCAGGGAGCAUCGGGCACAAGGCAGGGUACACCCUGGACAGGGUGCCAGUCCAUCGCAGGGCACAAUCACAUACACACUCACACGGAGUAUAAAUAUAUGCAAGCUAAUUAAAGACUAAACACAGAACAGGUGAACACACUAGGGCAACAAACUAGAGACUUAACCAAAACAGAAAGAAAGACACAUGGCAAUGUAAACAAAAGCACAUGUUGUGAAAGCAGAGAAAGUAAAUAAAUAAAAACCGUUGGCCAAUUUCUUUAGUGUAAAAUGUAUAAAAAAUAAGUAAAUAAAAAUUAUAAGACAAUAAUUAACUUCCAGGAAGUAGCAGUAACUUCUCACACCACCGAACCAUGAUGAUUUCCCUGUAAAAACAUGUCCCCAAAUGUUUGUACUCUAUUCCUUACUUAUCAGCUUUAUGAAAGUGACAUUGCAUGGACAGAGUGAAAUUCAACCUUUGAAUAAGAUUAAGAUUAAGAUAUGUGUGUUGAUGUAAACAUAACUGGGAGAAAAAUAAAAUCUUGUAUUACAGGUGUGACACUUUUUUUCUUAAGAAUGGUCACAUGUCUGAAAUAUCCCUUCACAUAUUAUAGCCAUUACAUCUGAAAUAGAAAUAAAACAACGAGCUAAAAAUAAAUUAGCUUAAAUAUAGACUUAAGUGUACACUUUAAGACAGUACGGUUUACGUUAGACGUCCAGGUUUUAUUCAGUAGAUUAAAUAUUUAUGUGUUAUAUAGACAACAACAGUUUAUAGUCUACAGCAAACAUGGUGCAGUGUAGCUAACAUAUAAAUCAGUGGAUUACAUGCGGUAGCUUUUCAGCACGUGAUGGAAAAAAAGGAUUAUCGUGAGUGAAUUGUUGUGGAAGAAUUGCAAAUUCACUUUCUUUGUCAAUGAGUCAAGGACAUGGCUGUGAUUUUAAAAGUGGAUCGUUUGUUGUGUUUCGCAAUAAUGUUAAGCUCAAAAAGCAAACGGUCCUACUCUCAUGAGGAGUCCAGACUAGCAUUAGCCUACCAUGAGCUACCAUGACAGGAUAUUUAUUCAGGAUUUGUCAUAUACUAAUGAUAACAAGGUGGCAACUAGGCCACCUGAGUGUUUGUUUUUUUUUUCUUCUUAUGUACAAGACAUCUUGUUUUGUUGUGAUAUACAGAACGCUUACAUAAUCCGGGAUAAAUGUUUGUGCAGAAGAAUGCUCAUUAAACAUGAUAUUAUUCUGACAUGGAUUGGCACCCUGUCCAGGGUGUACCCCGCCUUGUUCCCGAUGCUCCCUGGGAUAGGCUCCCGGUUCCCCGGGACCCUGAAGAGGAUAAGCGGUAUAGAGGAUAGAUGGAUGGAUGGAUAGAUGGAUGGAUUAUUCUGACAUUCAUUUUGGUCAAAUAAGAAUGUUUACUUUACGUCGAGCAUGAACAAGUAUAGUCUGAAGUAUGUGUGCUAGUUUUAGCAGUUAUAAUGUACACAUAUAAUAUAUAUAAUUAUAUGUGUACACCAUGUCCAGUGUGUCCCCUGCCUUGUGUCCUGAGUUCCCUGGGUUAUGCUCCAUGCUUCACACGACCCUGUGUAAGAUAAGCAGCAUUGAAACCGGAUAGAUGAAUGGGAUGCCUGAAAUAUCAUUUUUGGACAAUUUCUACUAACACUCUACAUGAAAAUCUCCCAAUAUGUCCAUUCAGAUACGGUGUAUAAAUAGAAGCCACCCCCUUGCCUUUGACCUCAAAUCGAGCCCGACAUUUAUCUGUAUUAAAGCUAGAACCUUCAAUCCAUGAACCGGAUCAUGGAUGCUGCCACAUGCUUCUGUUUGUUUUUGUUCUUUUUCAUACUGAAAAGUGGAGGCAUGUGAGUCUACUGUCACGUAGCUUCUGCUUCAUCUCUGUUUACACACUGCAGAGAUAAUGUGUGACAACUGAAUCUCUUCACUCGUCUAAUCCAUGAAGCCACGGAUGAAAUCUCAUUUAGGGAUCAGCAGCAGUGGCAUCGUUUUCCCGAUAAGAACCUGCAACUCUGCAUGCAGCGGCUGGCACCAGCCAUUCAGCACAAAUACCAUUUGGCAGAGCCCAGGACGUAAAACAGCCCUAUUUCAAUUAAUGGAGCGACACCUCAGCUUCUCAGGACUGUGUUUGCCAGACUGGAUCGUGUCGUAUAAUCUCCUCAUUUAUUCUCAAAGCAGUCUAUUAAGGCGUGAAAUGAUGCCAACCAAAAAGAAAAAGCACGGCCUUCUCGAAGAGUCAAGGAUUAUUCAAAUGGGGAGCUCUAAGACAGUGGGUUCAGACUUUUUAAUUUUUAUUUUUUAUUUUUUAUUUUUAUUUUUUACUUUGUUCUUGCUUUCCUUUUUUUCAUGUGAGAAUGGAGCCACGUCACAAAUCAGAACAUCUGGCAGCUUGAGAUGAGUUAAAACAAAAUGGAAAAUGUUGCCAUCCAGUGUAUUGUGAACAUAUGAUUAAACCAGAGACAUUUUUUUUGAAAGAUUAUACCCUUCAUAUUGUCAAAUCGCAGGUUUAUAUUAAUGUGUACACUCUAAUAUGUUAUCAUUUCUAUAGUAACGACUCGUUCACAGGUGAAUACUCUACAUAAACGGAUUAAAAAUGUCUGCAAUUGUACUGAUAGUGCAGUUUUAUAUAAGGAGGAGUCUCCAGUGUCAGUGCUUGUAAAAGUCAGAGGUAUAGCUGUAACGUUGAGUUUUUACACCUUCAAGAAAUAGAUGUUUACGUUUUUGGCUUUCCCCUGGCAAGUGCACAACCAUGCCAAACAUUUGGUGUUUUCCCACUACAUACUGUAAACUCCACCACACUGCCUGUUUUCCAUACAUCCUAAUAACCUGCACCUCUUCCGUUAUUCCACACUGCAUGCCAAGCCAGCUUCUUCCAGGAUGCAAUGAAAUUCUUAAGGAACCUGUCACUUCCCAUGAAGCUGAACUCCGGAGAGAUGCUACUCCUCGGAGGAGUGAAGUGACUCAGGCAGCCUGACUGACUGUUGAUGGUCCUACUCAAUCUUCGCCAUGCACAACUAGCUGCUGACUGGCAUUGCGCGGAACAGAUCACCCUGAUGGCACUAUUUGCACAACGAUUACUUUGCCGCAUGUUUUGAAGAGAGGCCAAGAUUUUUGGCUCUUCUUGAAGCAGUCUAAAUAAUGCACUUCACUAAUGGAGACAAAAUCACUCGGUUAUUAAAGUGAAUUUAUAAUGAUGCAACAAGCAAUUAGCACAUUUACACAGCAUUUCGUGUAAUGAAUCUCAUGAAAUAUUGACUUCACCAGUUGCUUCAUCUUUUUUGUUAGAGCUCUGCGGUUAGCGUUUAGCAGCUACUGAUUGCACAUAGAUGCACAUGAAAGCACAGAAAAACAUAGUCUGUGUAAGGAAUGAGACACUUCGGGAUGUGCUGUUACGGGGAAAUAAUCAACGACAGGGUUGAUGUGAGAAAGUAGAGUUACUGUUCCUACCCAACAAAAGAUUAUUUUCCACCAACAACAGCAUGUCGCAAAGUAUUUUAUUCUUUUAUACCACAGGCAACUUUCUGAUGAUUGCAAUACUUUUUUUUUUAUCCGUUUAUAAUUGCAUUUAAUGUUGUAAAGACAGCAUAUCCAUGAGCUGUCAGUAAACUGUGGCUGUGAUGAAAGAAUUGUUUCACCCCAUCAGAGAGCUUGGUCUGGGUUAGAACAUCUGGGCAGCAUUGAAAAUUGUCAAUUCGAGAAGAUUCCAAACUGCUGUUUUGAUACGAUUUGACUGGUUCCAUUACUACAGAGUAAGAGUGAAUAUAAAAGAGCUAUUUGUCCGAGCCAAACUGAAAUUGCAUGUAAAAAAAAAAGCUGUAAAACUUAAUGAAAGAUAAAGGGCAUCCUACUGAGUUCAACAGCACAAAGCUUUUCUACUGACACACAUCUCACUCCUUUCUGAUCUUAGGAAAUCCAUCAUAAAAGCAUGAAAAUGGUGACGAGCUGUACGAAUGGAUACCUGAUCAUAAAUAAUUCAGAGCUAAGCUGUGCAUGUUGAAGUGGAACACAAUAAGGAGAGCUCCAUGUGUGUUAAAGUGUGCGUGGAUGUGCAAGAAUAGCUGCUUGAAGCAGUGAGGGGAAAAAAAAAACAACAUAACUUUCUUUUACAUCAUGGUGUUUGCCUUCACACAGUCGCCCACGGUGGCAGGAGCUCUUUCUGAUACCCUGUAGCUCUCCCUUAUGGAAGCUGUUUAAGGAAGGAGCAUUAUUAAGGGAGGGUUGUUUUUGUUUCAGAGGAUGAUGUCCCUGUAGCUGUGUUCUCUCUCGCAUUGCACUGAUCUCCAUCUCCCCUCCCAGAUGGUUAUAUUUGGCUUGCUCUCAAAAGCAUAUGGCUUCUUUAUGUUACCCAUACUACUGAAACACUGCAGCUUCAGAUUAGAGUGGCUGGCAC